Non-coding RNA from Chiloscyllium plagiosum (whitespotted bambooshark), 583 nucleotides. The record is from RefSeq and is a predicted model, not a curated record. Lineage: Eukaryota; Metazoa; Chordata; Chondrichthyes; Orectolobiformes; Hemiscylliidae.
GCCAGAAUUGCUGUGUGUUGAAGACUCUGAUACUGCCCUAUGUCUGUCAAGCAUUAUGUCAAGAAUCAAAGGAACUUUGAAUGAUAGAACAGUAUAUCCACCAUCUCUGCACCCAUGACGUUUAGAGCAACAGGUUGUAGGCCAUCAGAUAAUCAGAUUCUUGGAAAAUGAUUACCAGCAAGAUUCACUUCAACUUGUUGCUUGACAGGUCAGUGAUGCAUUGAAAACUUGCCUGAUGUUCGGCAAAUGGUUGAUACGUUUCUGACACCCGUGAGUUUUAGACUGAGUUAUAUUCAUCUUCACUCCCUAUUAACUUGAUGAUGCUGUACAGAGAAGCAACUGAAGAUUUUCACUUUAAUCAUCUGGAAAAAUGCAAGACUGUAAAUGAUCACAACAACAACUUACACUACAGGUGAAAAAAGAUACGGAUUAUUGGCAGGAAAAUCGAGUCUGAUUGGCUGAGGUGUCACAUGGAGAAAGCUGGUAGAGGUUUCUGACGCCUAUGAAUAAUUUAAUAAAAGCACAAAAUAUAAACAGUUUCCUCUUGUUUGCAAAGAACUGGUCACAGAAUAUUACUCACAGU